CCUACGGGGGGCAGCAGUGGGGAAUCUUCCGCAAUGGGCGAAAGCCUGACGGAGCAAUGCCGCGUGAGUGAAGAAGGCCUUCGGGUUGUAAAACUCUGUCCUUAUCGAAGAGAGGUGGGUAUGUGAAUAAUGUACUCAUAGGACGGUAGAUAAGGAGGAAGCCCCGGCUAACUACGUGCCAGCAGCCGCGGUAAUACGUAGGGGGCGAGCGUUGUCCGGAAUCACUGGGCGUAAAGGGCGCGUAGGCGGUUUAAUAAGUCAGUGGUGAAAACUGAGGGCUCAACCCUCAGCCUGCCACUGAUACU
Molecule: ribosomal RNA, 305 nt
Filed under: uncultured bacterium
Lineage: Bacteria
Description: bacterial SSU rRNA
Rfam family: Bacterial small subunit ribosomal RNA
Source: RNAcentral